GCAAUCCAUUUGGAGGAUGGCAAAGUUCUUGUAAAAGCACAAGUUCACCACUCACAGUCUCUUAGAAAAAAGGAACUGAUGCCUUGGGGAAGUAUUAGUAGCAAUAAAACCAUAAUUGCUGGCCAUUGCCAGUGUACAGCUGGGCUUGGUGGUGUUUGCUGUCAUGUUUGUGCAGUUCUUUACAGUGUAAUUAGUGCUACAUCACUACCUUGCACUGCAAAGGAAAAUCAAUGGUUAGACACACACCCCAGACGUUCAGUAGCUCUUAUAAACAAAAUCGCGGAUCUCAAUACCAGGGCCUCCCCGACCCUAAAAUGACAGGAGUGCAAAUUUUUUUUCCCGGCUUUGCCGCCCCUUAAAAAAAUUUAUAUACGAAAACAUAUAGUUGAUUUUAACAUAAGCUUUAGUUAACAUCUGGAUUAGUUAUAUUUCUGGAUAAAUAACAGUAUCACUUAAAAUCAUACACGAUACAAGAUUGCUGAUAAAUGACGAGACACGAGAAUAUCUUGCAAAUUGAAUUGCAAAUCGAAUAGUGAGACUUAGAUCGGCACUUUACGCGAUUUUUUUUGGGCAAAUUCCUCAAUCGCUUCAUUGAGAUCAAUAUUUUCGACAAUUUCUCUUUCGAUUGAAAUCAUUGCUAACCCAUCUAGUUUUUCUUGUCCCAUUAAUGAGCGAAGAUAUGUUUUUAUUAGUUUCAAUUUGCAAAAACUUCUUUCUCCUUGCGCAACAGAAACUGGAAGGGUCAGCAAAAUUCGUAAUGCAAUCACAGUAUUAGGAUAAACUGACGACAAUCCAUUUUGAACGAUAAAGGUCAAGGCAGCAAGAGGACAAGAAUCAAUUAUUUUUCCGUCUUCGCUUGGUAAAGGAAAUCGAUGGGAGAGAGAUCGCAAUUCGAUAAAAAGAUCAUCUGGAGAAAUGUCGCAUUUUUCUCCGACGGACAAUGCGUUAUUUAAGGCAGUACAACAUGUUUUCAAUUGGUAAUCGUCAAGUUUCUGAAUAGUUGGAAUAUCGUAUAGAAAACGGAAAAGAGAAUUGUGUUCAUUUAACAAAUCAAACCUUUCAACGACUGAAUUAAUGGCAGUGUCAAUCACGUAAAAAAAUAUUUCCGUCCGAAACUUAGCCAUUGGAUCCAAAAUCGGUUCAUCUCUUGAUUCAUAAUUGAAUUGACGACGAGUUCGACGAACUCGGACUGUUGGUUCAGAUGGAAAAUUUGGCUCAACUUCUAUUUCUUUUGCAAGUUCUUUACCAGUAGCGAUAACUCCAGCGAAGCCCUCGUCGGAUCUUAGAUUGACGAGAAACUGUUUUGUUCGAUCCAGAUGUUUUGUGGCUUGCGACAAAUCUGUUUCCACUCGUUGAAGAAUUUUACUAGUAACAUUAAUUUCAAAAAGAACAUCAUGCCACAGAACAAGAGAGCAGAUUCGACACUCAAAAUUCCAUUAGAAGAUAUGCGGGGUCAAGGCUAUGACAACGGUGCAAACAUGAGCGGUAGACAUAACGGCGUUCAAAAGCGAAUCCAAGAUCUGAAUCCGAGAGCUUUGUUUGUGCCUUGUAACGCGCACAGUUUGAAUCUCGUUCUUAAUGACGCUGCAAGCUGUUGCGUAGCGGUCGUUUCUUUUUUUGGCAUUAUUCAAGCCCUUUAUGUGUUUUUCUCUUCGUCAACUAAACGCUGGCAAGUUCUUCUUCAAUUUGUCCCUAACCUAACACUUAAGUCAUUAAGUGAAACUCGCUGGGAAAGUCGUAUCGAUGCCAUCAAGCCCCUUCGCUAUCAACUUGGAAAUGUGUAUGACGCCUUACAGCAUCUGGCAAACGAUGAAACUUUAGUGGGGCCCAAUGGAACAAAAACGCGUGCUGACGCAUUUGCACUAGCAACAAACAUCGCCAAAUUCAACUUUAUCUGCUCUCUUGUUCUGUGGCAUGAUGUUCUUUUUGAAAUUAAUGUUGAAUGAAAAUUCUUCAACGAGUGGAAACAGAUUUGUCGCAAGCCACAAAACAUCUGGAUCGAACAAAACAGUUUCUCGUCAAUCUAAGAUCCGACGAGGGCUUCGCUGGAGUUAUCGCUACUGGUAAAGAACUUGCAGAAGAAAUAGAAGUUGAGCCAAAUUUUCCAUCUGAACCAACAGUCCGAGUUCGUCGAACUCGUCGUCAAUUCAAUUAUGAAUCAAGAGAUGAACCGAUUUUGGAUCCAAUGGCUAAGUUUCGGACGGAAAUAUUUUUUUACGUGAUUGACACUGCCAUUAAUUCAGUCGUUGAAAGAAACUUGACGAUUACCAAUUGAAAACAUGUUGUACUGCCUUAAAUAACGCAUUGUCCGUCGGAGAAAAAUGCGACAUUUCUCCAGAUGAUCUUUUUAUCGAAUUGCGAUCUCUCUCCCAUCGAUUUCCUUUACCAAGCGAAGACGGAAAAAUAAUUGAUUCUAGUCCUCUUGCUGCCUUGACCUUUAUCGUUCAAAAUGGAUUGUCGUCAGUUUAUCCUAAUACUGUGAUUGCAUUACGAAUUUUGCUGACCCUUCCAGUUUCUGUUGCGCAAGGAGAAAAGUUUUUGCAAAUUGAAACUAAUAAAAACAUAUCUUCGCUCGUUAAUGGGACAAGAAAAACUAGAUGGGUUAGCAAUGAUUUCAAUCGAAAGAGAAAUUGUCGAAAAUAUUGAUCUCAAUGAAGCGAUUGAGGAAUUUGCCCAAAAAAAAUCGCGUAAAGUGCCGAUCUAAGUCUCACUAUUCGAUUUGCAAUUCAAUUUGCAAGAUAUUCUCGUGUCUCGUCAUUUAUCAGCAAUCUUGUAUCGUGUAUGAUUUUAAGUGAUACUGUUAUUUAUCCAGAAAUAUAACUAAUCCAGAUGUUAACUAAAGCUUAUGUUAAAAUCAACUAUAUGUUUUCGUAUAUAAAUUUUUUUAAGGGGCGGCAAAGCCGGGAAAAAAAAUUUGCACUCCUGUCAUUUUAGGGUCGGGGAGGCCCUGAAUCUAAGUAAAAUAUAAAUACGUAUCUGAGUCGUGACUUAACCAAUUCAAACUCAAACUUGGACUUUUAAGAUAGUCUGCUUGAACUACAAAACAUAUUAUCCAUCUAUGCCGCCCCUCAGAAAAAGUCAAGGGUGCAACCGCACACCUUGCACACCCUUAAGGGAGGCCCUGCUCAAUACGUCACGCAAGGGAGAAGAAGUGUCUGAAGAAACAAGAAGAAUCUGUCAAAAAAGGAAACUUUAUUCAAGUAACAGCGUUCCAACAAUGACUCCUGAGGGAAAUAAAAAUUCUUCGUGGUCAGGUACAAGGUACAAGAACUUUGCCAUCCUCCAAAUGGAUUGCUGAGAGCGCAGAGACCCAACCACUUUCCACGUACUUGAUUGCUUCAUGAAUGGUCUUGAUUGCAUUAAGUUGCAUUUUUGUAUCCCUGCUGUCUUGCAAUUAAAUACAUGUAAAGCUCAUGCUCUCU
RNAcentral lists this unclassified non-coding RNA (3422 nucleotides) under Daphnia magna. RNAcentral's name for it is "uncharacterized LOC123477705, transcript variant X1". Lineage: Eukaryota; Metazoa; Arthropoda; Branchiopoda; Diplostraca; Daphniidae. The record is from RNAcentral.